GCUUGUCUCAAAGAUUAAGCCAUGCAUGUCUAAGUAUAAGCAAACUUGUACUGUGAAACUGCGAAUGGCUCAUUAUAUCAGUUAUAGUCUACUCGAUAGUACCUUACUACUUGGAUAACCGUAGUAAUUCUAGAGCUAAUACAUGCGCAAAUACCCAACUGCUUGUCGGACGGGUAGCAUUUAUUAGAUACAGAACCAACCCAGACUCUGUCUGGUUGCUUGGUGAUUCAUGAUAACUGAAUGAAUCGCAUGCUUCGGCGGCGAUAAAUCAUUCAAGUUUCUGACCUAUCAGCUUCCGACGGUAGGGUAUUGGCCUACCGUGGCAAUGACGGGUAACGGAGAAUUAGGGUUCGAUUCCGGAGAGGGAGCCUGAGAAACGGCUACCACAUCUAAGGAAGGCAGCAGG
Molecule: ribosomal RNA, 406 nt
Filed under: uncultured dinoflagellate
Lineage: Eukaryota; Dinophyceae
Description: partial small subunit ribosomal RNA
Rfam family: Eukaryotic small subunit ribosomal RNA
Source: RNAcentral